GAGAGGGUCUCUCGGCCCCCCCAGGACCUGACGUCGGCGCUGACCCGUAAGAUCACGCUGAAGACCCCGCUCAUCUCGUCCCCCAUGGACACCGUCACCGAGUCCGAUAUGGCCAUCGCCAUGGCGGUGAGCUUUUUUUUUGGGGGGGGGGCACCCCGGGAUUUUGGGGGGCUGGGGGGGUGGGUGUGGGGUCAGGGUGUACGUCACGGUAUGGGUUGGGGUGUGGGGUUGGGGGGCUCGCGCCUGUGUGGGGUUGGGGUGCUCACCCCUGUGUUAUUUUGGGGGAUACGGAUUUGGGGUAACCAACACAUCUGGUUUGGGGGGUGCGCAUUUGGGGUGCCCACCCCUAUGUGGGUUUGGGGUGUAGGGUUAGGGUCCCCAUCACAUUAUGGUUUGGGGGUUUGGGGUUGGGGUGCUUGCACCUCUGUGGGGUCAGGGUGCUCACCACUGUGUUAUUUUGGGGGAUACGGAUUUGGGGUAACCAACACAUCUGGUUUGGGGUGCGCAUUUGGGGUGCUCACCCUGUGCAGGUUUGGGGUGUGGGGUCAGGGUGCCCAUCAUGGUAUGGUUUGGGGGUGUGGGGUUGGGGUGCUCGCACCUGUGUGGGGUCGGGGUGCUCGCCCCUGUGUUAUUUUGGGGGAUACAGAUUUGGGGUUACAGCCCAUCUGGUUUGGGGUGCACAUUUGGGGUGCCCACCCCUAUGUGGGUUUGGGGUAUAGGGUAAGGUCCCCAUCACAUUAUGGUUUGGGCGUGUGGGGUUGGGGUGCUUGCACCUGUGUGGGGUUGGGGUACCCACCCCUGUGUUAUUUUCGGGGAUACAGAUUUGGGGUAACCAACACAUCUGGUUUGGGGUGCGCAUUUGGGGUGCCCACCCCUGUGCAGGAUUGGGGUGUGGGGUCGGGGUGCCCAUCACUUUAUGGUUUU
Molecule: long non-coding RNA, 924 nt
Filed under: Anas platyrhynchos platyrhynchos (common mallard)
Lineage: Eukaryota; Metazoa; Chordata; Aves; Anseriformes; Anatidae
Description: lncRNA (ENSAPLG00000018512.1)
Source: RNAcentral